Molecule: ribosomal RNA, 253 nt
Filed under: uncultured bacterium
Lineage: Bacteria
Description: partial 16S ribosomal RNA
Rfam family: Bacterial small subunit ribosomal RNA
Source: RNAcentral
UACGGGGGGGGCAAGCGUUGUUCGGAAUUACUGGGCGUAAAGGGCUCGUAGGUGGCCAACUAAGUCAGACGUGAAAUCCCUCGGCUUAACCGAGGAACUGCGUCUGAUACUGGAUGGCUUGAGUUUGGGAGAGGGAUGCGGAAUUCCAGGUGUAGCGGUGAAAUGCGUAGAUAUCUGGAGGAACACCGGUGGCGAAGGCGGCAUCCUGGACCAACACUGACACUGAGGAGCGAAAGCCAGGGGAGCAAACGGG